CAGUCUGACACAGUGGGAGAUAUUACUGUAGCUCAGAACACAAGAGGACGUCAUAACUCCACUGUACAUCUGACUGUUUUGUCAGGGAACUCAACAUUCAUAAUACAUAUCAUCAAGUGGACUCUGCUGCUCUUGAUGUUGAUUUCUCUGUUUCUCCUGACUCUGUGGACGAGAAAGAAGAAAACUCUGAACUCCACCAC
This is a non-coding RNA of Labrus bergylta (ballan wrasse), 200 nucleotides long. Lineage: Eukaryota; Metazoa; Chordata; Actinopteri; Labriformes; Labridae. The record is from RefSeq and is a predicted model, not a curated record.